RNAcentral lists this ribosomal RNA (309 nucleotides) under uncultured bacterium. RNAcentral describes it as "bacterial SSU rRNA". It matches the Rfam family "Bacterial small subunit ribosomal RNA", at positions 504 to 812 of the family's 1533-position model. The record is from RNAcentral.
CGUGCCAGCAGCCGCGGUAAUACGUAGGUGGCAAGCGUUAUCCGGAAUUAUUGGGCGUAAAGCGCGCGUGGGCGGUUUUUUAAGUCUGAUGUGAAAGCCCACGGCUCAACCGUGGAGGGUCAUUGGAAACUGGAAAACUUGAGUGCAGAAGAGGAAAGUGGAAUUCCAUGUGUAGCGGUGAAAUGCGCAGAGAUAUGGAGGAACACCAGUGGCGAAGGCGACUUUCUGGUCUGUAACUGACGCUGAUGUGCGAAAGCGUGGGGAUCAAACAGGAUUAGAUACCCUGGUAGUCCACGCCGUAAACGAUGA